Long non-coding RNA from Rhineura floridana, 291 nucleotides. RefSeq lists it as uncharacterized. The transcript has 3 exons. The record is from RefSeq and is a predicted model, not a curated record. NCBI's taxonomy places the organism in Eukaryota, Metazoa, Chordata, Lepidosauria, Squamata, Rhineuridae.
CAGCUGGGAAAGCUUAUCUGUAUAAAUGUAUUUUCACCCACCAGCAAAGUUGCACAGGGCUGUUUCUUGUGGACCUCUGUAGAGUCUUCUGCUCCUGCUCCAUUGAACAUGAAUCUGAGGACUAGAGCAUGUCCUACUUCAUCCACUUAGGUAGCUUUAAAAAAAAAAGGCUAAAAAGAGCAAAAAGUUACGGACAGAAUGCCAAAGGGGAGAAUAAAGCCAAAAGGAUGGACAUUUUAAAGAAUGUCUGUGUAAGGAAGAGAAAGAGAUCCUGUACUGCUGCCACCACCU